GACGAACGCUGGCGGCGUGCUUAACACAUGCAAGUCGAACGGAAAGGCUCCAGCUUGCUGGGGUACUCGAGUGGCGAACGGGUGAGUAACACGUGGGUAAUCUGCCCUGCACUCUGGGAUAAGCCUGGGAAACUGGGUCUAAUACUGGAUAUGACCUUUCUCCUUAUGGGGUUUGGUGGAAAGUUUUUCGGUGUAGGGUGAGCCCGCGGCCUAUCAGCUUGUUGGUGGGGUGAUGGCCUACCAAGGCGACGACGGGUAGCCGGCCUGAGAGGGUGAUCGGCCACAUUGGGACUGAGAUACGGCCCAGACUCCUACGGGAGGCGGCAGUGGGGAAUAUUGCACAAUGGGCGGAAGCCUGAUGCAGCGACGCCGCGUGAGGGAUGACGGCCUUCGGGUUGUAAACCUCUUUCAGCAGGGACGAAGCGUAAGUGACGGUACCUGCAGAAGAAGCACCGGCUAACUAUGUG
RNAcentral lists this ribosomal RNA (467 nucleotides) under uncultured bacterium. Its description in RNAcentral is "partial 16S ribosomal RNA". It matches the Rfam family "Bacterial small subunit ribosomal RNA", at positions 28 to 507 of the family's 1533-position model. The record is from RNAcentral.